This 72-nucleotide transfer RNA is filed under the name Bacteroidaceae bacterium. RNAcentral describes it as "tRNA-Asn". It matches the Rfam family "tRNA". Rfam says of the family: Transfer RNA (tRNA) molecules are approximately 80 nucleotides in length. Their secondary structure includes four short double-helical elements and three loops (D, anti-codon, and T loops). Lineage: Bacteria; Pseudomonadati; Bacteroidota; Bacteroidia; Bacteroidales; Bacteroidaceae. The record is from RNAcentral.
GGGAGCGUAGCUCAGAGGUAGAGCAGCGGACUGUUAAUCCGUUUGUCGGAAGUUCGACCCUUCCCGUUCCCG